Non-coding RNA from Sphaerodactylus townsendi, 72 nucleotides. NCBI's taxonomy places the organism in Eukaryota, Metazoa, Chordata, Lepidosauria, Squamata, Sphaerodactylidae. The record is from the annotation of a RefSeq genome assembly.
GGGGUUGUGGCUCAGUGGUAGAGCAUCCGCUUGACAUGCAGAGGGUCCCAGGUUCAAUUCCUGUCAUCUCCA